AUCCAACUGACAAGUCCCAAACAGGACGAAACGCGCAUCCUGGAU
RNAcentral lists this non-coding RNA (45 nucleotides) under Schistosoma haematobium. The record is from RNAcentral. Lineage: Eukaryota; Metazoa; Platyhelminthes; Trematoda; Strigeidida; Schistosomatidae.